This 357-nucleotide ribosomal RNA is filed under the name uncultured bacterium. Its description in RNAcentral is "bacterial SSU rRNA". It matches the Rfam family "Bacterial small subunit ribosomal RNA", at positions 71 to 422 of the family's 1533-position model. The record is from RNAcentral.
ACCGAGGCUUCGGCCUCGGGGACAGCGGCGAACGGGUGAGUAACACGUGGAUAACCUGCCCUCGGCACCGGGAUAGCCCGGGGAAACCCGGAUUAAUACCGGAUGGCCCUUCCGACUCUCGAGUCGGUCGGAAAAGGUAGCUUCGGCCUCCGGCCGAGGAUGGGUCCGCGGCGGAUUAGCUUGUUGGUGGGGUAAUGGCCCACCAAGGCUCCGAUCCGUAGCUGGUCUGAGAGGACGAUCAGCCACACUGGGACUGAGACACGGCCCAGACUCCUACGGGAGGCAGCAGUGGGGAAUCUUGCGCAAUGGGCGAAAGCCUGACGCAGCGACGCCGCGUGAGGGAAGAAGGCCUUCGGG